Molecule: non-coding RNA, 1557 nt
Organism: Odocoileus virginianus texanus
Lineage: Eukaryota; Metazoa; Chordata; Mammalia; Artiodactyla; Cervidae
Source: RefSeq, a predicted model, not a curated record
AGCCGCGGGGCGGGCGGUGGCGCUCCCGGAAGUGGCGCGGACGUCGCGUGCGUCUGAGCGGUGCGUCGGGCUGCAGGAGAAGAUGGCGGUCUCCACAGGUGUUAAAGUUCCUCGUAAUUUUCGUUUGUUGGAAGAACUUGAAGAAGGACAGAAAGGAGUGGGCGACGGUACGGUUAGCUGGGGCCUGGAAGAUGACGAAGACAUGACACUCACAAGGUGGACAGGCAUGAUCAUUGGGCCACCACGGACAAAUUAUGAAAACAGAAUAUAUAGCCUGAAAGUAGAAUGUGGACCUAAAUACCCAGAAGCUCCUCCAUCAGUUAGAUUUGUAACCAAAAUUAAUAUGAAUGGAAUAAAUAAUUCCAGUGGAAUGGUGGAUGCACGAAGCAUACCAGUGUUAGCAAAAUGGCAAAAUUCAUAUAGCAUUAAAGUUGUACUUCAAGAGCUAAGACGUCUAAUGAUGUCCAAAGAAAAUAUGAAGCUUCCACAGCCACCAGAAGGACAAACAUACAACAAUUAAUUUUAGUGGAUCUCAAACUUGUCUUAAAUCAGCAACCUUCUACUCAUGUUAAUGUCUUGAUUAAAUAUCACAAUGCAAAAUACCCACACAUUAAAGUAAGAUAAUUCCAGCUGGUAAACAUGACCUGGACAUUUGUAAGAAUAUAUUUAAUAUAUGUACACCCAUUAUGUUUUCAGGUAACAGGAGGAAAAUUCAGCAGUCUUUUCUUGUUAAGGCACCACCACUUAAGCACGCACCUGGAGUCCUCACUGGAACUCAGGUUUGCAGGUGAGAGCACGGCAAGAAGUGUCGGCUGGCUGUGCAGGCAGAUGUGUUUCUGACGAGAAAGCCAAGAAGGAAACUCGAGUGGCGUGCUCCAUCAUCUUGCUUAGAGAAAGAGCUUCAGUUGAAAUUGUCUAAAGUAGCAGGCACUUAACAGUAGAUAACUUUAUCAAGUUCUGAAGAUUAACCGAGUAAAAUGAGGUUUUGACAUGACACCUGCAUUAGAAUGUAAAGUUGGUUACAGUACUUACGUCAUGCUUUUGGGUCUGAAGACUCACUGUUUUCCAGUCAACAAACCUGGUCAUUGUGAACCUGUAUUACACAGGGUGGAGUCUUAUAGCCUGUGUGGUUUGUCUGUCCUUAACAUGAGAGAAGAGUAGAUUUUCUCUGCAGUUGAUAACUGACAAAGAGAAAUGUCUUGUCUGACUGCUUCUUAAGCUACAUUGUCCAGAUAAAUAGUGAUCAGAUUAUAUCCACUAACAUAGAUUAUCUUUUUAUUGCUCUAAUUAAAAAAAUCAUCUGAAUACCCAAGUGAAAAAAUUGAGUUCACAAGAAAAAUGCAGUAUCUAAUUGCCUGGGUUUCUUUACCUUGAGUAACAUAUGGACUUCCUUAAGGAGAAAAUAAUUCUUUUGGACUCAAUAUUGUUUUGAAUUAUUUUUGUUAAAAUAUUGUUUAAUGCAUAAAACUGUUAAUGCAAAUGUAUAUACUUCUUAGUCCUAUAAAAUUAUAAAGCCCAAUAAAAUUAUAAAGGUUACACAGUAAUUAAAAUGUAAAA